Molecule: non-coding RNA, 160 nt
Organism: Salvia hispanica
Lineage: Eukaryota; Viridiplantae; Streptophyta; Magnoliopsida; Lamiales; Lamiaceae
Source: RefSeq, a predicted model, not a curated record
ACCGUCCGCAACGCGCCGCGUGCUCCCUCCGUCGAUGCUUUAGAAAAUGCUCAGGGUUUAGCAAGCCCUUGUUCCAUAUCUAAAGAGAGGAGCUGUUCCAAGGAUAAUAUCAGUGUAAAUAAAUCUGGAACUUCAAGCCUUUGUUUGGAGCCACAGCAGA